UACUUUGACCAAGUAUGUUACUAUUUUUUCUAAUUCUGAAAGUACACUUCCCAAAAUAGAACUCCCAACUCCCUCUCAAUUCUAUGUUUGUCAUUUAUUCUUCUCCUUGUAUAGAUACUUUCUAAUUUAUAAUCUUUGUAAAUAACUUUAAGGACUUAUUAGUCAUUUUAACAGAAUAAUCUAACCAAACACAUGAACCGCUACUUCCUAAGCACGUAAUUGCUGAUUAAUAAAAUCAAUCUCAAUAC
Molecule: long non-coding RNA, 248 nt
Filed under: Nicotiana benthamiana
Lineage: Eukaryota; Viridiplantae; Streptophyta; Magnoliopsida; Solanales; Solanaceae
Description: long non-coding RNA (NBEN_LNC001240)
Source: RNAcentral